Molecule: ribosomal RNA, 254 nt
Filed under: uncultured bacterium
Lineage: Bacteria
Description: partial 16S ribosomal RNA
Rfam family: Bacterial small subunit ribosomal RNA
Source: RNAcentral
UACGUAGGCAGCGAGCGUUGUUCGGAAUUACUGGGCGUAAAGAGUGUGUAGGCGGCGCUCUAAGUUCGGUGUGAAAUCUCUCGGCUUAACUGGGAGGUGCGCCGGAAACUGGAGUGCUCGAACGUGGGAGAGGAAAGCGGAAGUUCCUGGUGUAGCGGUGAAAUGACGUAGAUAUCAGGAGGAACACCUGCGGUGUAGACGGCUUUCUGGACCAUUGUUGACGCUGAGACACGAAAGCGUGGGUAGCAAACAGG